AGAAAGAACCAGUCAAGAUGGAACGGAAGGAUUAAGGGGGGAAAUCCCACAAUGGUGUUGCUUUCAUGCAUCUUUGAGAGGGGCUUUCCUCUGUCUUUAUACGAUCAUACAGACAGUGGACAAGGUUUGAGAAGUCAAGAAAAAGACCUUUCUUUCUAUAUUUAAUUCCCUCGGGUCUCUGACUCCUUGAGUUUGAAAACAACUUCGUUUUGGUAGGAUUUUCCUUUGCACUUCUAGAGCCAGUGCAAACGCUGAUCUGUUAGACACGGUUGAAGAGAGUGUAAAAUGAUACAGAUGGUAGUGAUAAAGUGUCUUAAUGUCACCUUCUCCCACCUAGCAUUUUGCCCCUUCCUUAGUGACCUUCAUUUGGCCACUUCUCCUGCUUCAGGGAAAUUUCCGGACAAAGACUCGUGAUUGGCUGUCUGUGAAUUAGAGACACAAAAGCCUUAAACGCCUUUACGUUUAUCUUGUCUAUUUCCAGAAAGAAAGACACAGUGUAGACGGAGAAGAAUGCCAUGUUUGAAGACGUGCGCUUCAUCUAGAAACUCCAAGGCAGUCUCUGAAAUGUGCAGAAUCCAUGAAGGCUACCUUGCCCAAUUUCCACCUCCCUCAAAUCUCACAAGGACAACCAACUUAUUGGGUGCCAGGAGCAGAGUAUUUCCAAGAAGCCUUCAGUGAGUUCAAACAUGGGAUGAGAAAAAUAAGAUAAAAGUUUUAAAACUAAAUGCAAAUUCCCACACUUGGAUUCAAAACCAGCAUCUUCAGCAGUGCACAACUGGGGAGACUUGACGGGGGGGGGGCGCAGCUUCACAUGGUUCAGUUUUAAAAACCCUCUGUGAGGACUUGUCCUGUUUUAGCAUUUUUAUCCUUUUCAAUGUCUGUGUCUCUGAGAGUCUGUGGAUUAUUUUAUCAUUAAAUGCCGUGUCCGGGGAGGAGAAGCAGAGAGCAAAGACCCCCUGUGAAAUUGCUCUCAUUCAGAAAGUUCCACUUUGGACAGAAUCAUAUUGGAACGACCUGAUCAUGAGUUUAUAUGAACAGUGGUUUAAUUAAUUCCCAACUCCCCCACCAUAGCAUUUGCAAAAUGGAAAUUUUUGGAAAUAUUUCCCCCCUUAAAUAUUUUGGUUCAGCUGAUUUCAGGAAAAAAAGAAUGCCACUGUUGGUAUCUGCACAACAUAUUGAAAAUGCCAUGGCCAUUAGGAUGCCUUUAGAGACAUCUUCAACCUUCACCUUCACACAGAUCAGACCUACCAUUUAUUAUUUCUGUCCCUCUCUAAAUCUGCAUAGAUGAUUCUGAAAAAGUGAGAAAUUGCUUAGGGUCAAAAGGGAGGAUGCCGUAAGGAAACAUCUUCCUUCUGUACACAAGAAAAUAGCUUUAGAGUGUUUGGAAUAGUUUAAUGUAAUCAACACAGGCUGGAUACCAGUAUGAAUUUGAGAGUUUUAAACUUUUUGACUCGCAGUUUGGGUUUUUAUAGAACACUCUGUAAUGCACCUGAAGAGGCCAUGAUUAUAAAGCUCAAACUGAAGUCCCCAAACAGGGGCUCAGAUUGGUGCUGUGGGGUGAGGGGAAAGGACUGCUCUGUCCUCUGCUAACCGGGCAUCAUGUAUUAGUAGGAGCCUGAACUUGGGCCAUGGAGCGGUCCUAGAUGUCAAUUCCUCUGUUUCCUUAAGGCCAGCAAUUGUCUUAUUUAUUCUGGCACUCUGGAGCAUCUGGCAGGGGUACACAGCACAUCAUCAGUGCUACGUGAACAUUUAUAAAUCGACCAGUAUCAAAAUGUGAACAAUUACAGGUUCUCCAUACAAAUGUGCAUAUACAGGAACACAACACACACAUUGUUAAUGUGUAAAACGGUAAAUGUGUAAAGUCAACAAGAACACACCAUGUGCCACGGCUAAAUGUUAACGCAGGUUACCUAAAAUGUGGUUUUGGUUUGAUUUUUAAGGGCAUUUGGGGGAAAAUGAAGAACAUUAAAAAAAAAAAAAAACUGUCUUACCGUACAGGUAUUUUCCUUCAUAAAA
Long non-coding RNA from Herpailurus yagouaroundi (jaguarundi), 2016 nucleotides. RefSeq lists it as uncharacterized. Lineage: Eukaryota; Metazoa; Chordata; Mammalia; Carnivora; Felidae. The transcript is spliced from 2 exons. The record is from RefSeq and is a predicted model, not a curated record.